This is a long non-coding RNA of Ahaetulla prasina, 1626 nucleotides long. RefSeq lists it as uncharacterized. The record is from RefSeq and is a predicted model, not a curated record. The transcript is spliced from 5 exons. NCBI's taxonomy places the organism in Eukaryota, Metazoa, Chordata, Lepidosauria, Squamata, Colubridae.
AAGUAAAAUCUUUCCAGAUUAUUUUUCCAAAUGAAUUUUCCAGCAAACUGGUUAGAGAAAUAACAAUUUUAAUAUUAUGCUAAUAUACAUAUCCAGUGAUAUGUAUGAUUUGCAUUUGUUAUCCAAAUAUCAUGAAAAAGUUCAAAGUCACAGAAUAAAUUUUAUAAACUCCAUUUAAAUCCUGCUCCAUUUAAAUCUCAUGAAAAAAAAUGCUCUAGAUUUAAAUUUAUAUCAAACAGUUUAUUUUAUAGUCAUAAAUGGUAAAUUUUGCUUCCUGGGUUUUUGCCUUUGUAGGUAAUUCAGAAACUGGUAUAUUUAACAUGUUUGGUUGUUAGGUAAGUAUGGAAUUCUCAUUCUAAUGUAUUAAAUGGGUUAGCAUUCAAUAGCAUUCCAACUCUUUUAUUCUGUAUGAGCAUGUUACAUGAACGCUAUGGGGAAAUCCAAACUUGAAAAUAGCAAGAUAAUCCUUUCAUAAGGACUUGGACAGGAUUUGGAGAUUAUAUCUUAAACCAAGUAAUUGGAGUAAUAACUAAUUGUUGAUCAAUGAGCUUUCCCUUCCCAUGAAAAGCAGAAUCAUUGGAUAUUCGUUUAAAACUGAAGUCUACACAGGGGCUAAUAACUUUAAGUGCUUGAGAAUCUCCUUAGUACCAGAAGAUUUUUCAUGCUAUUUACAAAAAUUACAAGCCUGGCAUUGGUUCUUAUGAUGUGGUCUUUCAUAGUGAUUCUCUUUAGGACAAAAUUUGCUUCACAUAUUCAUUUUGUUUUGGAAGACUUACUGUUUUUCUUGAUGCUCAUUUUCUUUUGAAUUAUAUGCUAGCAUAUAAUGCUGGCAUAUAAUUCAAUGGGUACUGAAGAAAAUGGGUACUGAAUGCUUUUAUGAUCACACAACAGAGUCUAUGACAAUGAUUCAAUGGUACUAAUUCUCUAUCAGUUAUAAAAUGACAUAAAAAACUCAUCUCAUCUCUCUUUUUAUAUUCAGAUAAGCAUUUGAUCCCUAAUGUCUAUGGAGCUUCUCAAUCAUCCAAAUCAUGGCUGAAGAAGCUUCUUGGAUGAGAAGCAUCCAUUGCCUUUUGAAAAAAAGCACCUUUGGGAUUUUAUUCAUAAUUGGAAGAAUUAAUUAGAGAUCGUCUGAUCCAUCUGGACGUUCUGUAAGAACUCCAUUAAAAUCAGGGAGUCGUGUAAAUCGGAUGCUUGGCGCUGGAGGGCUUCCUGUACACCGACCAGCCUGUACCUUUGCAUGGAUGACUGAAAGGAGCACAUCUGCUUGCUGGAGGAAAGAAGCUGCUUCUAGUGCCUGCUGCAGGGUUUCAUGAUGUUCCUUUAAUGUCCUCUGGAGCUGAAGCCACCUGAAAGGAGGGAAGGAGGACAGAUGUAAAGUAAGAGGAAGCAGCCCACAGACCACAUUUUACCUGGUUCAGUUUGAUGAUGGUAUUCUCAAAAUCCUUCAUCUCUCUCUGUAAUAUUUGAGCUAUCCGUUCCCAUUCCUGAAAUCUGCAACCAUCCUUCAGAUCAUGGAGUUUUCCUCGCAUCCAUUUUUCAGCCUGAAAGGGAUGAAAAAUAAACAGGGGGUGGUGCUCAUCUCAUUUCAAAGCCGAAGAGCCAGCACUGUCUGAAAACAUCUCCGGG